Molecule: ribosomal RNA, 253 nt
Filed under: uncultured bacterium
Lineage: Bacteria
Description: partial 16S ribosomal RNA
Rfam family: Bacterial small subunit ribosomal RNA
Source: RNAcentral
UACGAAGGGUGCAGGCGUUACUCGGAAUUACUGGGCGUAAAGGGUGCGUAGGUGGUCGUUUAAGUCCGUUGUGAAAUCCCUGGGCUCAACCUGGGAAUGGCAGUGGAUACUGGACGGCUAGAAUGCGGUAGAGGGUAGUGGAAUUCCCGGUGUAGCAGUGAAAUGCGUAGAGAUCGGGAGGAACACCAGUGGCGAAGGCGGCUACCUGGACCAGCAUUGACACUCAAGCACGAAAGCGUGGGGAGCAAACAGG